Molecule: ribosomal RNA, 489 nt
Filed under: Triticum aestivum (bread wheat)
Lineage: Eukaryota; Viridiplantae; Streptophyta; Magnoliopsida; Poales; Poaceae
Description: partial small subunit ribosomal RNA
Source: RNAcentral
AUGCCCUUCAGGCGAGCCCCCUCUGCGCCGCCGUCUCGCCAUGGCGCCCGGACCGGCCUCCCGCGCACACAUAGAGGGACAGCGCCCUUGCCUUCGUCCCCGGCCGGCCUCUCCUUCCUCCGCCAUGCCUCCUCCACUCUGCAUCGUCUCCCCAUCCAUGGCACCCUUCUCCUCCUCCGCCUGGUGCCUGCGAAGCCGCACGCCCCUCGCCCUCCGUCGUCCGCUUCCGGCGCCUCCGACCCUCCUCUGCUUCGUCUCCCCAUCACCAUGGCCUGGUUCGCCUCGCCGCUGCUUCUCUGCUCCGCUCCGCCGCCCCUGCUCCGCCCAGCAAGUGCGCCGCCGCUGCCCUCCUCUGCUCCGCCUCCGUUGCGCCAAGGCACCCCGGGCAUCUCCUGCUCCUCGCCGGCCUUCAGUGUGUGCGCCGCCGCUUCCCUGCUUCAGGCCCUUUGUCGUGCCCUGCAUCCCGCAGCUGAACGUGACCAGCCGUAG